Molecule: long non-coding RNA, 345 nt
Organism: Pyrgilauda ruficollis (rufous-necked snowfinch)
Lineage: Eukaryota; Metazoa; Chordata; Aves; Passeriformes; Passeridae
Exons: 3
Source: RefSeq, a predicted model, not a curated record
ACGAGAUCUGCAGUUGCUUUUAAGGUGCUUUUCAAGCUCUGCAUGGAAGUUACCCUUUUACUUCCUUCACACAGUGACUGUAAUGAAUCUGAAAGCCUUCCUGAAUCCAUGCUUUGUCAAUGCCAGUGCGCAUCCAGAGUCAAGGGCACAGCUGAGAGCUCCUGGCCCCAGCAGCUGUCUAGGGGCAGCACAAAACCCUGCAGAGUGGAGAAGUGGCCAGCAUCUGCACUGCACAGGACCUCCCUCCCUUAUCUGCUGGCUGCAUGAGGGGGAGCAUGUGAAAAGGAGAGGAGGAAAGGCUGGCAGGGAGAGGCUGCCUGAGGGACCAGUGAACUCCAGGCUGUA